This 465-nucleotide ribosomal RNA is filed under the name uncultured bacterium. RNAcentral's name for it is "partial 16S ribosomal RNA". It matches the Rfam family "Bacterial small subunit ribosomal RNA", at positions 28 to 507 of the family's 1533-position model. The record is from RNAcentral.
GACGAACGCUGGCGGCGUGCUUAACACAUGCAAGUCGAACGGAAAGGCCCUGCUUGCAGGGUACUCGAGUGGCGAACGGGUGAGUAACACGUGGGUGAUCUGCCCUGCACUUCGGGAUAAGCCUGGGAAACUGGGUCCAAUACCGGAUAGGAGCCAUUUUUCGUGUGAUGGUUGGAAAGUUUUUUCGGUGUAGGAUGAGCUCGCGGCCUAUCAGCUUGUUGGUGGGGUAAUGGCCUACCAAGGCGGCGACGGGUAGCCGGCCUGAGAGGGUGGACGGCCACAUUGGGACUGAGAUACGGCCCAGACUCCUACGGGAGGCAGCAGUGGGGAAUAUUGCACAAUGGGCGCAAGCCUGAUGCAGCGACGCCGCGUGGGGGAGGACGGCCUUCGGGUUGUAAACUCCUUUCGCUAGGGACGAAGCUUUUUGUGACGGUACCUAGAUAAGAAGCACCGGCUAACUACGUG